GACGAACGCUGGCGGCGUGCUUAACACAUGCAAGUCGAACGGAAAGGCCCUGCUUUUGUGGGGUGCUCGAGUGGCGAACGGGUGAGUAACACGUGAGUAACCUGCCCUUGACUUUGGGAUAACUUCAGGAAACUGGGGCUAAUACCGGAUAGGAGCUCCUGCUGCAUGGUGGGGGUUGGAAAGUUUCGGCGGUUGGGGAUGGACUCGCGGCUUAUCAGCUUGUUGGUGGGGUAGUGGCUUACCAAGGCUUUGACGGGUAGCCGGCCUGAGUGGGUGACCGGCCACAUUGGGACUGAGACACGGCCGAGACUCCUCCGGGAGGCAGCAGUGGGGAAUAGGGCAGAAUGGGGGGAAGCCUGAUGCAGCAACGCCGCGUGCGGGAGGACGGCCGUCGGGUUGUAAACCGCUUUCGCCUGUGACGAAGCGUGAGUGACGGUAAUGGGUAGAGGAGCACCGGCUAACUACGUG
This 468-nucleotide ribosomal RNA is filed under the name uncultured bacterium. RNAcentral's name for it is "partial 16S ribosomal RNA". It matches the Rfam family "Bacterial small subunit ribosomal RNA", at positions 28 to 507 of the family's 1533-position model. The record is from RNAcentral.